Molecule: ribosomal RNA, 1498 nt
Filed under: metagenome
Description: bacterial SSU rRNA
Rfam family: Bacterial small subunit ribosomal RNA
Source: RNAcentral
AGAGUUUGCUCCUGGCUCAGAGCGAACGUUGGUGGGAUGUUUUAAGCAUGCAAGUCGAGCGGCAGCAUGGGAGCUUGCUCCUGAUGGCGAGCGGCGGACUGGUGAGUAACGCGUAGGUUAUCUACCUAGUAGACUGGGAUAGCCACUGGAAACAGUGAUUAAUACCGGAUAUUGUCAUUCGUGAUGAAAGGUGCGUUUGCACCACUACUAGAUGAGCCUGCGUCCUAUUAGCUUGUUGGUGAGGUAAUGGCUUACCAAGGCAUCGAUAGGUAGCCGGCCUGAGAGGGUGAUCGGCCACAUUGGGACUGAGAUACGGCCCAGACUCCUACGGGAGGCAGCAGCUAAGAAUAUUCCGCAAUGGACGAAAGUCUGACGGAGCAAUCCCGCGUGAGUGAUGAAGGCCUUCGGGUUGUAAAGCUCUUUCGGCAGGGAAGAAUAAGGCAUACAGGAAAUGGUGUGCUGAUGACGGUACCUGCAGAAGAAGCACCGACUAAUUACGUGCCAUCAGUCGCGGUAAUACGUAAGGUGCAAGCGUUGCUCGGAAUCACUGGGCGUAAAGGGUACGCAGGCGGCUAAAUAAGUUAGUGGUGAAAUCUUGAGGCUCAACCUCAAGCCUGCCAUUAAAACUGUUUGGCUAGAGUUGUAAUAGAGGUAGCAGGAAUUCCUAGUGUAGGAGUGAAAUCUGUAGAUAUUAGGAGGAACACCAAUGGCGUAGGCAAGCUACUGGGUAACGACUGACGCUAAUGUACGAAAGCCAGGGGAGCGAAUGGGAUUAGAGACCCCAGUAGUCCUGGCCGUAAACGAUGUAUACUAGUUUUAUGGUCUUUUAUUAGACUAUAUAACAAAGCAAACGCGUUAAGUAUACCGCCUGGGGAGUAUGCACGCAAGUGUGAAACUCAAAGGAAUUGACGGGGGCUCGCACAAGCGGUGGAGCAUGUGGUUCAAUUCGAUGAUAAGCGAAAAACCUUACCUGGGCUUGAACGUGUAAUGAAAGCUGAUGAAAGUCAGUCUCCCUUCGGGGCGUUAUGCGAGGUGCUGCAUGGCUGUCGUCAGCUCGUGUUGUGAAAUGUUGGGUUUAGUCCCGCAACGAGCGCAACCCUUAUCCUAUGUUGCUAAGUACCCCUUGUGGGUGCAGGACUCUUAGGAGACUGCCGAGGUUAACUCGGAGGAAGGCGGGGAUGACGUCAAGUCCUCAUGGCCCUUAUGUCCAGGGCUACACACGUGCUACAAUGGGUCGUACAAAGGGAUGCAAGAUCGCGAGGUUAAGCAAAUCCCAAAAAACGGCUCUCAGUUCGGAUCGCAGUCUGCAACUCGACUGCGUGAAGUUGGAAUCGCUAGUAAUCACAGAUCAGCAUGCUGUGGUGAAUACGUUCUCGAGCCUUGUACACACCGCCCGUCACACCACCCGAGUUGAAUUUACCUGAAGUCGUUGUACUAACCGCAAGGAAGAAGACGCCGAGGGUGAGUUUAGUAAGGAGGGUGAAGUCGUAACAAGGCG